This 742-nucleotide ribosomal RNA is filed under the name Saccharomonospora xinjiangensis. Its description in RNAcentral is "bacterial SSU rRNA". It matches the Rfam family "Bacterial small subunit ribosomal RNA", at positions 65 to 813 of the family's 1533-position model. The record is from RNAcentral. Lineage: Bacteria; Bacillati; Actinomycetota; Actinomycetes; Pseudonocardiales; Pseudonocardiaceae.
AACGCUGAAGCUCAUCUUGCUGGGUUGGAUGAGUGGCGAACGGGUGAGUAACACGUGGGUAAUCUGCCCUGUACUCUGGGAUAAGCCUGGGAAACUGGGUCUAAUACCGGAUAGGACACAUCACCGCAUGGUGGUGUGUGGAAAGUUCCGGCGGUACAGGUUGAGCCCGCGGCCUAUCAGCUUGUUGGUGGGGUGAUGGCCUACCAAGGCGACGACGGGUAGCCGGCCUGAGAGGGUGACCGGCCACACUGGGACUGAGACACGGCCCAGACUCCUACGGGAGGCAGCAGUGGGGAAUAUUGCACAAUGGGCGCAAGCCUGAUGCAGCGACGCCGCGUGGGGGAUGACGGCCUUCGGGUUGUAAACCCCUUUCGCCCGGGACGAAGCGAAAGUGACGGUACCGGGAGAAGAAGCACCGGCCAACUACGUGCCAGCAGCCGCGGUAAUACGUAGGGUGCAAGCGUUGUCCGGAAUUAUUGGGCGUAAAGAGCUCGUAGGCGGUGUGUCACGUCUGCCGUGAAAACCUGCGGCUUAACCGUGGGCGUGCGGUGGAUACGGGCAUCACUUGAGUUCGGUAGGGGAGACUGGAAUUCCCUGGUGUAGCGGUGGAAUGCGCAGAUAUCAGGAGGAACACCGGUGGCGAAGGCGGGUCUCUGGGCCGAAACUGACGCUGAGGAGCGAAAGCGUGGGGGAGCGAACAGGAUUAGAUACCCUGGGUAGUCCACGCCCGUAAAACGUUGGG